ACGACUCUCAACAAUAGAUAUCUUGGCUCUUGCAACAAUGAAGAACGCAACGAAAUGCAAUACGUAGUGUGAAUUAUAGAAUUCCGUGAUUGAUCGAGUCUUAGAACACAAGUUGUGCCCGCAACUCAUUCAAGGGCAUGCAUUCCUGAGCGUCCUU
RNAcentral lists this ribosomal RNA (157 nucleotides) under Psilotum nudum. RNAcentral's name for it is "5.8S ribosomal RNA". It matches the Rfam family "5.8S ribosomal RNA". From Rfam's summary of the family: 5.8S ribosomal RNA (5.8S rRNA) is a component of the large subunit of the eukaryotic ribosome. It is transcribed by RNA polymerase I as part of the 45S precursor that also contains 18S and 28S rRNA. Functionally, it is thought that 5.8S rRNA may be involved in ribosome translocation. The record is from RNAcentral. Lineage: Eukaryota; Viridiplantae; Streptophyta; Polypodiopsida; Psilotales; Psilotaceae.